GCCUCCUGAGGAGCUGGGAUUACAGGCAUGCGCCACCACACCCGGCUAAUUUUGUAUUUUUAGUAGAGAUGGGUUUCUCCAUGUUAGUGAGACUGGUCUUGAACUCCUGACCUCAGGUGAUCUGCCCACCUCAGCCUCCCAAAGUGCUAGGAUUACAGGCGUGAGCCACCACGCCCGGCCAGGUGUUUUAUUUCUAUAUUAGCAAAUAGAUAUCUUUCAGAGCUACAACCUCUCAUAAUGAUAAGGGAGAGGACUUUAGCUGAAUGGUGGGCCACUGGGGGGUCUUUGGACCCCUGAACAACUUGGGGAAGAGGAUGACCUAUUCCCAUCUGUCCCUUAGUACUCAAUUUAGAAUGCCAGGAAGGAAGUAGAGGGGAGCCCUCUUGUGGCAGUUGCUGAAGCCUUCCAGUUCUUUUGAGGGGAUAGGGGAUGAAGAGGAGACUGAACCUGGGAGGUAGAUACUUAGCACCCAGCUCUUAGGACAAACAGCAAUCCCAUCUUCCAGAACAUGCAUAGCAUCAGUCAUGGACUGGCGGAAGACUUGGACCCAGGGUCCACUUCAGGAUAAUCUGGGCAAGGGAGCUUCCCAAAUGAGCCUGUAGAAAGCCAGUGGAAGGGCUUAGGUUGGCUAAGGUGGGAUGGAGGGCAAAACCCUCCCCUUCAUUGCAGAGUAUAGGGGCAGUGGCAGAGAAUGAAUGUAUGUGUGGGUUUCUCAGCCUUGAGGUAUAAGGUCUAAAGGCUCUGGGGAUUCACUGCAUACACCACUUCCAGUUCAAGCGCCUAGGUUGGUUACAGCAGGAAGUUGACAAGUAUGUAUUUAGUACAUUCGAUGUUUUUAGGCAUCUGCUAAAAGUAGGUCAAACCACUGAACUCAGGGAGGGGGCUGGGGAUCCAUUUCUAGGAUGCUGUGGAAUCCUUUUGGGACAUCUGUAGUAUACCACGUUGGGUAGUGAGAGUUGGGGGACACCCCUUCCAUUGCUGCUGCUUAGUGUAGGGAGUCAUGUCUUUGGGCAGCAGUAAUAUUAUUAAGAAAAGCUUUUUUUUUUUUUGAGACACAGUCUCUGUCACCCAGGCCGGAAUGCAGUGGCGUGAUCUCGGCUCACUGUAACCUCUGCCUCCCAGGUUCAAGCGAUUCUUGUGCCUCAGCCUUUUCCGAGUUGCUGGGAUUAUGAGUGCACACCACAACUCCCUGCUAAUUUUUUUUUUUUUUUUUGAGACGGAGUCUCACUCUUGCCCAAGCUGGAGUGCAAUGGCGUGAUCUCGGCUCACUGCAACCUCUGCCUCUCAGGUUCAAGCAAUUCUCCUGCCUCAGCCUCCGAGUAGCUGGGACUACAGGUAUGUGCCACCAUGCCCAGCUGAUUUUUCUAUUUUUAGUAGAGAUGGGGUUUCACCAUGUUGGCCAGGCUGGUCUUGAACUUGUGACCUCAAGUGAUUCGCCCACCUUGGCCUCCCAAAGCACUGGGAUUACAGGCAUGAGCCACCGUGCCUGGCAGAAAAGCUUCUUUUCCAGUUCUGAAGAGUGUGAAGGUAGGAGAGCCAGAAUUCAGUUCUCUCACUUUCCAACCCAGUACCUGGAGAGAGAGUGUCUUGCUGGUCACUGGGGAGUGAUAGGAUCCGGAUGCCCGCCUUCCUCUUCAAGUUUUUCUUUCUGAUUGGGUUUCCUGACCCUGAUUGCUGGUAUGGGUAAGAAUGACUCUGAAUUCCUGAGAAAAGGGAAGAGGGUUAGGACAGAGGAAAUGGAAUCAUUUAGUCAGGUAAAGGGAGCAAAGCCACCGAAGGCAGUGGUUGGAGGUGUAGAUGUGAGGAAGUUGGGUUGAGACCAUUCACCAUCAAGGCUUGAAGAUGAGUGUCUGUUUGUGUGUGUCAUGUUGGCUGUGAGUUGCAGAAGAGAGUAUCUGGCCUCUAGUUGAGGAGCACUUCCGGCUUCUGAGCUGAACAUGGUGUAGAAGAGAGGAUACUCAAUCCAAAACCCUGGCUAUCUAUGCAGAGGGCUGACCAGUUCUACCCAUGUACCCUUCCUUCCCUCACCCUUCCUCACAAACCAGGCAUAUUGAGAGCUGUCUGGCAGUCAAUCCAGGCGAGGCAGCAGGUUUGAGAAUGGGCUUGUCCGCCUGGCACCUGCUUCCCCCCACUUCCACCUUCACCCCUCCAUCCCAUAUAUCGUUCAGGGUCCUCCCAGCACAGAAUUGAAUAGAAGGACUUUUAAGGCUUGGAGGGCUUAGCUUGGGGCUCUAACCCACAGGAAUUCUUUCUGAGUUCUGAAUAUAGUAAUAAAGGGCACUCUUGGCCUUAGGUUAUAGAUAGGAGAUGGGGAAUCUGUUCUUGUCUUUGCCAAAUCUUGCAUUUAUGGGAUGAUACCUCUUUGAUUAGAACAGCCAUAGGGGAAGAGUGGAGGAAGUAAGUAAGUGCUUCAUUCUUGGAUGAAUAUAUGCAUAAACAUACCUGAAAGAAAACAUCUAGUCAGCUGGGGGUAUGUAUACCCUUGAAAAUACAACACCAGGCCAGGCAUGGUGGCUCAAUUCUAUAACCUCAACACUUUGGGAGGCUUAGGUGGGAGGAUAGCUUGAGCCCAGGAGUUUG
Molecule: long non-coding RNA, 2580 nt
Filed under: Homo sapiens (human)
Lineage: Eukaryota; Metazoa; Chordata; Mammalia; Primates; Hominidae
Description: LHRI_LNC1946.1
Source: RNAcentral